UACGAAGGGUGCAAACGUUGCUCGGAAUCAUUGGGCGUAAAGCGCGUGUAGGCGGUCCGGUAAGUCCGCUGUGAAAGUCGGGGGCUCAACCCUCGGAUGCCGGUGGAUACUGUCGGGCUUGAGUACGGAAGAGGCGAGUGGAAUUCCUGGUGUAGCGGUGAAAUGCGCAGAUAUCAGGAGGAACACCAAUUGCGAAGGCAGCUCGCUGGGACGUUACUGACGCUGAGACGCGAAAGCGUGGGGAGCAAACAGG
This 253-nucleotide ribosomal RNA is filed under the name uncultured bacterium. RNAcentral's name for it is "partial 16S ribosomal RNA". It matches the Rfam family "Bacterial small subunit ribosomal RNA", at positions 524 to 776 of the family's 1533-position model. The record is from RNAcentral.